RNAcentral lists this ribosomal RNA (484 nucleotides) under uncultured bacterium. RNAcentral's name for it is "partial 16S ribosomal RNA". It matches the Rfam family "Bacterial small subunit ribosomal RNA", at positions 30 to 507 of the family's 1533-position model. The record is from RNAcentral.
AUUGAACGCUGGCGGCAGGCCUAACACAUGCAAGUCGAGCGGAUGAAGGGAGCUUGCUCCUGGAUUCAGCGGCGGACGGGUGAGUAAUGCCUAGGAAUCUGCCUGGUGGUGGGUGAUAACGUCCGGAAACGGGCGCUAAUACCGCAUACGUCCUGAGGGAGAAAGUGGGGGAUCUUCGGACCUCACGCUAUCAGAUGAGCCUAGGUCGGAUUAGCUAGUUGGUGGGGUAAAGGCCUACCAAGGCGACGAUCCGUAACUGGUCUGAGAGGAUGAUCAGUCACACUGGAACUGAGACACGGUCCAGACUCCUACGGGAGGCAGCAGUGGGGAAUAUUGGACAAUGGGCGAAAGCCUGAUCCAGCCAUGCCGCGUGUGUGAAGAAGGUCUUCGGAUUGUAAAGCACUUUAAGUUGGGAGGAAGGGCAGUAAGUUAAUACCUUGCUGUUUUGACGUUACCAACAGAAUAAGCACCGGCUAACUUCGUG